RNAcentral lists this ribosomal RNA (375 nucleotides) under uncultured eukaryote. RNAcentral's name for it is "SSU rRNA". It matches the Rfam family "Eukaryotic small subunit ribosomal RNA", at positions 587 to 972 of the family's 1831-position model. The record is from RNAcentral.
AGCUCCAAUAGCAUAUACUACCAUUGUUGCGGUUAAAACGCUCGUAGUCGAAAUCUUUUUCCAAGACGAGAACUGCCUCGUCUUGGUACAAUGUUAACGCCCUGAGAAGAGGAGGCGAAUCUCGCGGUUCCGAUCUUGGGCGCUGACAAGUUACCGUGAAAAAAUUAUGGUGUUCAAGGCAAGCACAGGGUGCUCUGGAUACAUUAGCAUGGGAUAACACCGAAUCGCUUCGGACCAUGGGUGCGCUGAGAGCACAAGGGAUCGAAGUAACCUAAUAGGAGCAGUCGGGGGUAGUCGCAUUCCAUCGCUAGGGGUGAAAUUCUUUGACCGAUGGAAGACGAACAAUAGCGAAAGCAUCUACCAAGAAUGUUUUCA